AGGAUGAACGCUGGCGGCGUGCCUAAUACAUGCAAGUCGAGCGGUAAGGCCCCUUCGGGGGUACACGAGCGGCGGACGGCUGAGUAACACGUAGGAACGUACCCCAAAGUGAGGGAUAAGCACCAGAAAUGGUGUCUAAUACCGCAUGUGCUCUUCGGAGGAAAGCUUCGGCGCUUUGGGAACGGCCUGCGCAUGAUUAGCUUGUUGGUGAGGUAAUGGCUCACCAAGGCGACGAUCAUUAGCUGGUCUGAGAGGAUGAUCAGCCAGACUGGGACUGAGAACGGCCCAGACUCCUACGGGAGCAGCAGUAGGGAAUUUUCCACAAUGGGCG
Molecule: ribosomal RNA, 331 nt
Filed under: uncultured bacterium
Lineage: Bacteria
Description: SSU rRNA
Rfam family: Bacterial small subunit ribosomal RNA
Source: RNAcentral